CUACGGGGUGCAGCAGUGGGGAAUUUUGCGCAAUGGGGGAAACCCUGACGCAGCAACGCCGCGUGAGUGAAGAAGGCCCUUGGGUCGUAAAGCUCUGUCAAUGGGGAAGAAGUUAUUAUGUGUUAAUAGCACAUUUUAUUGACGGUACCCAUGAAGGAAGCACCGGCUAACUCCGUGCCAGCAGCCGCGGUAAUACGGGGGGUGCAAGCGUUAUUCGGAAUUAUUGGGCGUAAAGGGCACGCAGGCGGUCCUGUCAGUCAGAUGUGAAAGCCCGGGGCUCAACCCCGGACGUGCAUUUGAAACAGCAGGACUUGAGUACGGGAGAGGAAAGGGGAAUUCCUGGUGUAGAGGUGAAAUUCGUAGAUAUCAGGAGGAACACCGGUGGCGAAGGCGCCUUUCUGGACCGAUACUGACGCUGAGGUGCGAAGGCGUGGGUAGCGAACGGGAUUAGAUACCCCGGUAGUC
RNAcentral lists this ribosomal RNA (465 nucleotides) under uncultured bacterium. RNAcentral's name for it is "partial 16S ribosomal RNA". It matches the Rfam family "Bacterial small subunit ribosomal RNA", at positions 339 to 795 of the family's 1533-position model. The record is from RNAcentral.